GAUGAACGCUAGCUACAGGCUUAACACAUGCAAGUCGAGGGGCAGCAUUUUAGUUUGCUUGCAAACUGAAGAUGGCGACCGGCGCACGGGUGAGUAACACGUAUCCAACCUGCCGAUAACUCCGGGAUAGCCUUUCGAAAGAAAGAUUAAUACCGGAUAGUAUACGAAUAUCGCAUGAUAUUUUUAUUAAAGAAUUUCGGUUAUCGAUGGGGAUGCGUUCCAUUAGUUUGUUGGCGGGGUAACGGCCCACCAAGACUACGAUGGAUAGGGGUUCUGAGAGGAAGGUCCCCCACAUUGGAACUGAGACACGGUCCAAACUCCUACGGGAGGCAGCAGUGAGGAAUAUUGGUCAAUGGGCGCGAGCCUGAACCAGCCAAGUAGCGUGAAGGAUGAAGGCUCUAUGGGUCGUAAACUUCUUUUAUAUGGGAAUAAAGUUUUCCACGUGUGGAAUUUUGUAUGUACCAUAUGAAUAAGGAUCGGCUAACUCCGUGCCAGCAGCCGCGGUAAUACGGAGGAUCCGAGCGUUAUCCGGAUUUAUUGGGUUUAAAGGGAGCGUAGGUGGAUUGUUAAGUCAGUUGUGAAAGUUUGCGGCUCAACCGUAAAAUUGCAGUUGAAACUGGCAGUCUUGAGUACAGUAGAGGUGGGCGGAAUUCGUGGUGUAGCGGUGAAAUGCUUAGAUAUCACGAAGAACUCCGAUUGCGAAGGCAGCUCACUAGACUGUCACUGACACUGAUGCUCGAAAGUGUGGGUAUCAAACAGGAUUAGAUACCCUGGUAGUCCACACAGUAAACGAUGAAUACUCGCUGUUUGCGAUAUACAGUAAGCGGCCAAGCGAAAGCAUUAAGUAUUCCACCUGGGGAGUACGCCGGCAACGGUGAAACUCAAAGGAAUUGACGGGGCCCGCACAAGCGGAGGAACAUGUGGUUUAAUUCGAUGAUACGCGAGGAACCUUACCCGGGCUUAAAUUGCAACAGAAUAUAUUGGAAACAGUAUAGCCGUAAGGCUGUUGUGAAGGUGCUGCAUGGUUGUCGUCAGCUCGUGCCGUGAGGUGUCGGCUUAAGUGCCAUAACGAGCGCAACCCUUAUCUUUAGUUACUAACAGGUGAUGCUGAGGACUCUAGAGAGACUGCCGUCGUAAGAUGUGAGGAAGGUGGGGAUGACGUCAAAUCAGCACGGCCCUUACGUCCGGGGCUACACACGUGUUACAAUGGGGGGUACAGAAGGCGGCUACCUGGCGACAGGAUGCUAAUCCCAAAAACCUCUCUCAGUUCGGAUCGAAGUCUGCAACCCGACUUCGUGAAGCUGGAUUCGCUAGUAAUCGCGCAUCAGCCAUGGCGCGGUGAAUACGUUCCCGGGCCUUGUACACACCGCCCGUCAAGCCAUGAAAGCCGGGGGUACCUGAAGUACGUAACCGCAAGGAGCGUCCUAGGGUAAAACUGGUAAUUGGGGCUAA
Molecule: ribosomal RNA, 1452 nt
Filed under: uncultured organism
Description: SSU rRNA
Rfam family: Bacterial small subunit ribosomal RNA
Source: RNAcentral